CAACGCCGCGUGAGUGAAGAAGGCUUUCGGGUCGUAAAACUCUGUUGUUGGAGAAGAAUGGUCGGCAGAGUAACUGUUGUCGGCGUGACGGUAUCCAACCAGAAAGCCACGGCUAACUACGUGCCAGCAGCCGCGGUAAUACGUAGGUGGCAAGCGUUAUCCGGAUUUAUUGGGCGUAAAGCGAGCGCAGGCGGUUUUUUAAGUCUGAUGUGAAAGCCCUCGGCUUAACCGGGGAAGUGCAUCGGAAACUGGGAAACUUGAGUGCAGAAGAGGACAGUGGAACUCCAUGUGUAGCGGUGAAAUGCGUAGAUAUAUGGAAGAACACCAGUGGCGAAGGCGGCUGUCUGGUCUGUAACUGACGCUGAGGCUCGAAAGCAUGGGUAGCGAACAGGAUUAGAUACCCUGGUAGUCCAUGCCGUAAACGAUGAAUGCUAGGUGUUGGAGGGUUUCCGCCCUUCAGUGCCGCAGCUAACGCAUUAAGCAUUCCGCCUGGGGAGUACGACCGCAAGGUUGAAACUCAAAGGAAUUGACGGGGGCCCGCACAAGCGGUGGAGCAUGUGGUUUAAUUCGAAGCAACGCGAAGAACCUUACCAGGUCUUGACAUCUUUUGAUCACCUGAGAGAUCAGGUUUCCCCU
RNAcentral lists this ribosomal RNA (636 nucleotides) under Lacticaseibacillus rhamnosus. RNAcentral describes it as "bacterial SSU rRNA". It matches the Rfam family "Bacterial small subunit ribosomal RNA", at positions 392 to 1019 of the family's 1533-position model. The record is from RNAcentral. Lineage: Bacteria; Bacillati; Bacillota; Bacilli; Lactobacillales; Lactobacillaceae.